AUGGCGGUAAACAGAGAUGGGAUAGGGAAGCACACAGGGAUUGGGCAGUACACAGGUAUGAGAGAUUGUGCAGUACACAGGGAUGAGAGAUUGGGCAGUACACAGGGAUGAGAGAUUGGGCAGUACACAGGUAUGAGAGAUUGGGCAGUACAUAGGGAUGAGAGAUUGGGCAGUACACAGGUAUGAGAGAUUGGGCAGUACAUAGGGAUGAGAGAUUGGGCAGUACACAGGUAUGAGAGAUUGGGCAGUACAUAGGGAUGAGAGAUUGGGCAGUACACAGGUAUGAGAGAUUGGGCAGUACACUGGUAUGAGAGAUUGGGCAUUACAUAGGGAUGAGAGAUUGUGCAGUACAUAGGGAUGAGAGAUUGGGCAGUACACAGGUAUGAGAGAUUGGGCAGUACACAGGUAUGAGAGGUUGGGCAGUACACAGGUAUGAGAGAUUGGGCAGUACACAGUGAUAGGGCGUUAAACAAUGGUUAAGUCGAGCACAGAAUUAAAUAAGAGUAAUGAG
Biomphalaria glabrata is the source of this 511-nucleotide long non-coding RNA. RefSeq lists it as uncharacterized. The transcript is spliced from 3 exons. The record is from RefSeq and is a predicted model, not a curated record. NCBI's taxonomy places the organism in Eukaryota, Metazoa, Mollusca, Gastropoda, Planorbidae.